UGCAGUCGAGCGGUAGCACAGAGAGCUUGCUCUCGGGUGACGAGCGGCGGACGGGUGAGUAAUGUCUGGGAAACUGCCUGAUGGAGGGGGAUAACUACUGGAAACGGUAGCUAAUACCGCAUAACGUCGCAAGACCAAAGUGGGGGACCUUCGGGCCUCAUGCCAUCAGAUGUGCCCAGAUGGGAUUAGCUAGUAGGUGGGGUAACGGCUCACCUAGGCGACGAUCCCUAGCUGGUCUGAGAGGAUGACCAGCCACACUGGAACUGAGACACGGUCCAGACUCCUACGGGAGGCAGCAGUGGGGAAUAUUGCACAAUGGGCGCAAGCCUGAUGCAGCCAUGCCGCGUGUGUGAAGAAGGCCUUCGGGUUGUAAAGCACUUUCAGCGGGGAGGAAGGCGGUGAGGUUAAUAACCUUGUCGAUUGACGUUACCCGCAGAAGAAGCACCGGCUAACUCCGUGCCAGCAGCCGCGGUAAUACGGAGGGUGCAAGCGUUAAUCGGAAUUACUGGGCGUAAAGCGCACGCAGGCGGUCUGUCAAGUCGGAUGUGAAAUCCCCGGGCUCAACCUGGGAACUGCAUUCGAAACUGGCAGGCUAGAGUCUUGUAGAGGGGGGUAGAAUUCCAGGUGUAGCGGUGAAAUGCGUAGAGAUCUGGAGGAAUACCGGUGGCGAAGGCGGCCCCCUGGACAAAGACUGACGCUCAGGUGCGAAAGCGUGGGGAGCAAACAGGAUUAGAUACCCUGGUAGUCCACGCCGUAAACGAUGUCGAUUUGGAGGUUGUGCCCUUGAGGCGUGGCUUCCGGAGCUAACGCGUUAAAUCGACCGCCUGGGGAGUACGGCCGCAAGGUUAAAACUCAAAUGAAUUGACGGGGGCCCGCACAAGCGGUGGAGCAUGUGGUUUAAUUCGAUGCAACGCGAAGACCUUACCUGGUCUUGACUCCACAGAACUUACCAGAGAUGCAUUGGUGCCUUCGGGAACUGUGAAACCGGUGCUGCAUGGCUGUCGUCAACUCCUGUUGGGAAAUGUUGGGUUAGUCCCGAACGAGCGCACCCUUAUCUUUGUUGCCACGGUCCGGCCGGAAUCCAAGGAAA
RNAcentral lists this ribosomal RNA (1090 nucleotides) under Klebsiella pneumoniae. RNAcentral describes it as "bacterial SSU rRNA". It matches the Rfam family "Bacterial small subunit ribosomal RNA", at positions 56 to 1147 of the family's 1533-position model. The record is from RNAcentral. Lineage: Bacteria; Pseudomonadati; Pseudomonadota; Gammaproteobacteria; Enterobacterales; Enterobacteriaceae.